AAACGAUGAAUACUCGAUGUUGGCGAUAUACGGUCAGCGUCUAAGCGAAAGCGUUAAGUAUUCCACCUGGGGAGUACGCCCGCAAGGGUGAAACUCAAAGGAAUUGACGGGGGCCCGCACAAGCGGAGGAGCAUGUGGUUUAAUUCGAUGAUACGCGAGGAACCUUACCCGGGCUUGAAAGUUAGUGAAUGAGACAGAGACGUCUCAGUCCUUCGGGACACGAAACUAGGUGCUGCAUGGCUGUCGUCAG
Molecule: ribosomal RNA, 250 nt
Filed under: uncultured bacterium
Lineage: Bacteria
Description: partial 16S ribosomal RNA
Rfam family: Bacterial small subunit ribosomal RNA
Source: RNAcentral